RNAcentral lists this long non-coding RNA (1838 nucleotides) under Macaca fascicularis (crab-eating macaque). Its description in RNAcentral is "lncRNA (ENSMFAG00000048245.1)". Lineage: Eukaryota; Metazoa; Chordata; Mammalia; Primates; Cercopithecidae. The record is from RNAcentral.
UUUUUUUUUUUUUUUGAGAUGGAGUUUUGCUCUUGUUGUCCUGGCUGGAGUGCAAUGGUGCAAUCUCGGCUCAUUGCAACCUCCACCUCCUGGAUUCAAGCAAUUCUCCUGCCUCAGCCUCCCGAGUAGCUGGGAUUACAGGCGCACGCCACCAUGCCCAGCUAAUGUUUUGUAUUUUUUAGUAGAGAUAGGGUUUCACCACAUUGGCCAGGCUGGUCAAACUCCUUACCUCAGGUGAUCCAGCCACCUCAGCCUCACAAAGUGCUGGGAUUACAGGCAUGUCACCAUGCCUGGCUCAGGAAGGGGGAUUUUUUUAAAGGAAGAGGCAUAAUGGGAUCUUAUGAAGGCUGGUCAGUGAAGACCUCACUGAAAGGGAUAUUGAGCAAAGACGUGAAGGAAGUGGAGUGUGACAGGCAGAAUAACAGCUCCCCAACAACGUCCAUAUCCUAAUGCAUGGAACCUAUGAAUAUGUUACCUUACAUAGCAAAAGAGACUUUGCAGAUGCAAUCGAAUUAAGGAGCUUGAGAAGGAGAGAUUAUCCUGGAUUAUCCUUACAAGUGAAAGAGAAGCAGGAGAGUAAUUACAGGGAUCCUUACAAGUGAAAAGAGGCAGCCAGGAGAGUGAGAGAAGAACAUGAGAUGGCAGAAGUAGAGACUGUGAUAAUGCAGACAUGGAGGCCGCUUCUGGAAGCUGAAAAGGGCAAGGAAGUCAAUUCUCCCCUACAGCCUCCAGAAGGAAGGCAGCCCCUCCAACAUCUUGACUCUAGCCCUUUAAAACUAAUUGUGGGCCAGUGUGGUGGCUAAUGCCUUUUUUUUUUUUUUUUUUUUAAGUGGGAUGGCUUUUAUCACCAUUUCAAUGGAGGAAGUAUAACAUAGGGCUAUAGAGUGAGACUGUCUAGGUUCAAACACUGACUUGAACUUGGGUAAACAGUCUGGCAGUUCCUUAAAAGGGUAAGCAGGCCGGGUGUGGUGGCUCACGCCUGUAAUCCCAGCACUUUGGGAGACCAAGGUGGGUGGAUCAUAAGGUCAGGAGAUGGAGACCAUCCUGGCUAACAUGGUGAAACCCUGUCUCUACUAAAAAUACAAAAAAUUAUCCAGGCAUGAUGGUGGGGACUGUAAUCCCAGCUACUCAGGAGGCUGAGGCAAGAGAAUCACUUGAACCCGGGAGGUGGAGGUUGCAGUGAGCCAAGAUCGUGCCACUGCACUCCAGCCUGAGCAACAGAGCGAGGGGCAACAGAGCAAGACUCUGUCUCAAAAAAAGGGUUAAGCAUUCCCACAUGACGCAGCAAUUCUCCUCCUAGGUAUAUAUGUAAGAGAAUGAAAAACGUUUACACAAAAGCUUCUACAUACAUAGUCAUAGCAGCAUUAUUCUUUUUUUUAACCCUCCCUAGUCACAGCUAGUAGGUAUUAUUCUUAAUAGCCAAAAGGUGAAAAAGUGAAAACAACCCAAAUACAUCAACUGAUGAAUGGAUUAAACAGCAUAUUGUAUAUCCAUACAAUGGAAAAAAUUUUCAACCAUAAAAAGGGAUGAAGGCAGCCAUAAAAAAGGAUGAGUUCAUGUCCUUUGCAGGGACAUGGAUACAGCUGGAAGCCAUCAUUCUCAGCAAACUAUCACAAGGACAGAAAAUCAAACACUGCAUGUUCUCACUCAUAGGUGGGAAUUGAACAAUGAGAUCACUUGGACAUAGGGCAGGAAACAUCACACACUGGGGCCUGUCAGGGAUUGGGGGAGGGGGGAGGGAUAGCAUUAGGAGAAAUACCUAAUGUAAAUGAUGAGUUGAUAGGUGCAGCAAACCAACAUGGCACAUGUAUACCUAUGUAUCAAACCUGCAUGUUGUG